AGUGAACGCUGGCGGUAGGCCUAACACAUGCAAGUCGAACGGCAGCACAGUAAGAGCUUGCUCUUACGGGUGGCGAGUGGCGGACGGGUGAGGAAUACAUCGGAAUCUACUUUUUCGUGGGGGAUAACGUAGGGAAACUUACGCUAAUACCGCAUACGACCUACGGGUGAAAGCAGGGGAUCUUCGGACCUUGCGCGAUUGAAUGAGCCGAUGUCGGAUUAGCUAGUUGGCGGGGUAAAGGCCCACCAAGGCGACGAUCCGUAGCUGGUCUGUGAGGAUGAUCAGCCACACUGGAACGGAGACACGGUCCAGACUCCUACGGGAGGCAGCAGUGGGGAAUAUUGGACAAUGGGCGCAAGACUGAUCCAGCCAGACCGCGUGGGUGAAGAAGGCCUUCGGGUUGUAAAGCCCUUUUGUUGGGAAAGAAAAGCAGCAGGUUAAUACCCCGCUGUUCUGACGGUACCCAAAGAAUAAGCACCGGCUAACUUCGUG
RNAcentral lists this ribosomal RNA (492 nucleotides) under uncultured bacterium. RNAcentral's name for it is "partial 16S ribosomal RNA". It matches the Rfam family "Bacterial small subunit ribosomal RNA", at positions 29 to 507 of the family's 1533-position model. The record is from RNAcentral.